Molecule: transfer RNA, 64 nt
Filed under: Pyrearinus termitilluminans (Brazilian larval click-beetle)
Lineage: Eukaryota; Metazoa; Arthropoda; Insecta; Coleoptera; Elateridae
Description: tRNA-Thr
Rfam family: tRNA
About the family: Transfer RNA (tRNA) molecules are approximately 80 nucleotides in length. Their secondary structure includes four short double-helical elements and three loops (D, anti-codon, and T loops).
Source: RNAcentral
GUUUUAAUAAUUUAAAAAAAAAUACUGGUCUUGUAAGCCAGAAAUAAGCACGCCUUUUAAAACU